RNAcentral lists this transfer RNA (70 nucleotides) under Marmota monax (woodchuck). Its description in RNAcentral is "tRNA.Ala". The record is from RNAcentral. Lineage: Eukaryota; Metazoa; Chordata; Mammalia; Rodentia; Sciuridae.
GGGGUUGUGGCUCAGCGGUAGAGUGCUCGCCGAGCAUGUGUGAGUCCUGGGUUCUAUCCUCAGCACCACA